This 465-nucleotide ribosomal RNA is filed under the name uncultured bacterium. RNAcentral describes it as "partial 16S ribosomal RNA". It matches the Rfam family "Bacterial small subunit ribosomal RNA", at positions 338 to 795 of the family's 1533-position model. The record is from RNAcentral.
CCUACGGGGGUCUGCAGUAGGGAAUCUUCCACAAUGGGCGAAAGCCUGAUGGAGCAACGCCGCGUGGGUGAAGAAGGUCUUCGGAUCGUAAAACCCUGUUGUUAGAGAAGAAAGUGCGUGAGAGUAACUGUUCACGUUUCGACGGUAUCUAACCAGCAAGCCACGGCUAACUACGUGCCAGCAGCCGCGGUAAUACGUAGGUGGCAAGCGUUAUCCGGAUUUAUUGGGCGUAAAGGGAACGCAGGCGGUCUUUUAAGUCUGAUGUGAAAGCCUUCGGCUUAACCGGAGUAGUGCAUUGGAAACUGGGAGACGUGAGUGCAGAAGAGGAGAGUGGAACUCCAUGUGUAGCGGUGAAAUGCGUAGAUAUAUGGAAGAACACCAGUGGCGAAAGCGGCUCUCUGGUCUGUAACUGACGCUGAGGUUCGAAAGCGUGGGUAGCAAACAGGAUUAGAUACCCGGGUAGUC